Mandrillus leucophaeus (drill) is the source of this 653-nucleotide RNA transcript. It is a transcript of the gene named xaa-Pro dipeptidase pseudogene, with no coding region annotated. NCBI's taxonomy places the organism in Eukaryota, Metazoa, Chordata, Mammalia, Primates, Cercopithecidae. The transcript is spliced from 2 exons. The record is from RefSeq and is a predicted model, not a curated record.
ACUUCACUUGACGCCGGUGCCAGGCGAACAUGGCGGCGGCCACUGGACCGUUGUUUUGGCUGAGGAAGGAAACCCUGAAGGUGCCUGCCACUGGCGCUCUUUGCCUUGAACCGGCAGCGCCGCUGUGCGCGGCUGCGGAAGAACCCUGCUGUGCAGGCCGCCUCAGUGGUGGUGCGGCCGGGAGGCACCUACGCUGGGGUCCUCUUUCGCCAGGAGUCCUUCUUUCACUGGGUGUUCGGUGUCACCGAGCCAGGCUUCCUGCCAACCAUGCCACCUGGAUGGGAAAGAUCCAUUCCAACGAGCACUUCAAGGAGAAGUAUGCUGUGGACGACGUCCAGGACGCAGAUGAGAUUGCCAGUGUCCUGACGUCACAGAAGCCCUCUGUCCUCCUCACUUUGCAUGGCGUCAACACGGACAGCAGCAGCGUCUGCAGGGAGGCCUCCUUCGAGGGCAUCAGCAAGUUCAAAGUCAGCAACACCAUUCUUCACCCAGAGAUCGUUGAGUGCCAAGUGUUUAAGACGGACAUGGAGCUGGAGGUUCUGCUCUACACCAAUAAAAUCUCCAGUGAGGCCCACCGUGAGGUAAUAAUGAAGGCUGUAAAAGUGGGAAUGAAAGAAUAUGAUUUGGAAAGGAAAUUUAAAUAUCCAGAAUAA